UUCCUGGUGGCUCAGAUGGUAAAGAAUCUGCUUGCAAUGCAGGAGACCCAGGUUCAAUCCCUGGGUUGGGAA
Molecule: transfer RNA, 72 nt
Filed under: Bos taurus (domestic cattle)
Lineage: Eukaryota; Metazoa; Chordata; Mammalia; Artiodactyla; Bovidae
Also listed under: 5 other names
Rfam family: tRNA
About the family: Transfer RNA (tRNA) molecules are approximately 80 nucleotides in length.
Source: Rfam by way of RNAcentral